UGGUAGAUGCACCCUGAUUCGACCCCUCUGGAGUUCUUUGGAAUUCCGGGGGUUUUUUUU
Molecule: small RNA, 60 nt
Filed under: Halomicronema hongdechloris C2206
Lineage: Bacteria; Bacillati; Cyanobacteriota; Cyanophyceae; Nodosilineales; Nodosilineaceae
Description: Nitrogen stress-induced RNA 1
Rfam family: Nitrogen stress-induced RNA 1
Source: Rfam by way of RNAcentral